Phyllostomus hastatus (greater spear-nosed bat) is the source of this 107-nucleotide small nuclear RNA. The record is from RefSeq and is a predicted model, not a curated record. Lineage: Eukaryota; Metazoa; Chordata; Mammalia; Chiroptera; Phyllostomidae.
GUGCUCGCUUCAGCAGCACAUAUACUAAAAUCAGAACAAUACAGAGAAGAUUAGCACAGCCCCUGAGCAAAGAUGAUAUGCAAAUUCCUGAGGUAUUCCAUAUUUUU